UUCUUGUUACAAACAGGUUUUAGAAACCAUCUUUCUCUACUACUCUCUCUCUCUCUGUAAUCGUAUUUCUCUUCUAAUAAAGCUUUUUGUAAAUUUUUGCCAAGUACUGGUCAGACCCUUACUUCUUAAGAUGUUGUGGACCAAUGGACUGGGCAUCAGAACCAACAUUAUAAGACAAUGCAGCCACCACGAGGAUGGUCAUUACUUGGAAUGUAUUGGGGGAAUGCUAUGAAGUCAUGUGUAUUUAUUUACCAAGGAAUGUCUCGAAGCCAUGUGUAUCCAUUUGCCAGAGAAUGUCCUGUAACAUUCUAUACUUGGUAGCCAUUGUGGAUAAGGUCCGGGACGUCGGGUAAAAGUAUAGUUUAGGCUAGUUAGGAUAAUGUAAGUUUAUUUUCAUACUUUAUUUUUAUUUUGGAUUGUAUAAUCGGAUUGAAUAUUAUUUCUUAUUUUUGUAUUUUGCUUAUGCGUUUGUUUGCUUUGUUUGUAAAAUCUAUUCAUUUACAAUGUCAAUUUAGACGAUAUAAAUCAAUGGAGCAACCUUGCUACACGAGACCGAGGGAUGCCUAGCACCUUCGCCUCCGUCAACAGAAUUUUUUAAUCAGAAUCUCUAUUCGCGGAUUAGUUUACGGAGGCAAAUAUUUUUAAAAGGAUUAUCUUGGUGACUUGCAACA
Capsicum annuum is the source of this 671-nucleotide long non-coding RNA. RefSeq lists it as uncharacterized. The transcript is spliced from 3 exons. The record is from RefSeq and is a predicted model, not a curated record. Lineage: Eukaryota; Viridiplantae; Streptophyta; Magnoliopsida; Solanales; Solanaceae.